Long non-coding RNA from Eptesicus fuscus (big brown bat), 728 nucleotides. RefSeq lists it as uncharacterized. NCBI's taxonomy places the organism in Eukaryota, Metazoa, Chordata, Mammalia, Chiroptera, Vespertilionidae. The transcript is spliced from 6 exons. The record is from RefSeq and is a predicted model, not a curated record.
CUGAGACCCAGGCAACUCUUUUUCUAACAGCAGCCCAGGCAGUUCUGAGAUAGAACACAGGAAUGUGCAGAGAAACUUCUACCCACUGCAGAAGAUGAACUCUUCUUUAAAGAAAAGUUACUUUGAAAAUGAAUUGGACUGGGCAUCACCAGUACCUAGAGGCGUGUGUGGAACAUGGAGGGCAUUGGCAGCAGGCAGCAGAGCGAGGAACAUGGCAGGCAUCGGCCGCGGCAGGAUGGUGGAACAGAGGACCACAGCUUCCCAAGCCUGCCUCCAAUACCUCGUGUGAUGUCGUAAAUCAGGCUGCAUUACCACAUGUCACCUGUCCCACACUGGGAUGUCAUCUGCUGGCCGCCAUCCUAACCAGUGGAGGGUGUGAUCUAUGUAAGGAAGAAGGUUACUUCAUCUUUAUACAGUAGUGAUCAGUAUGUGCAGUGUUCCCUAUGACCGCCUCUGCUCUUGCAAAAUGCCAGCCUUGAGUUUCCAUUCAGAAGUCUGCCUCACUCCCCAAAGCACACCCAAUUCCCCAUACAUUGGACAAGAAUCUCUAAAGAAUGCAACCAUGGCAUCCCUGCUCUGAAGUCCUGAAUGCCAAAGUCAACAAUGGGGUGGAGAACCUACAGCCAGUCACCCUCAUGGAGUUCCAGUCCUGCUGUGGCAAUGGCUUCGCUUGCAAAAGCCAUACAGCAUACAGCCCCAGAAUAGCAAGAAGCUAGGCAAAUGCAAGA